RNAcentral lists this ribosomal RNA (542 nucleotides) under uncultured bacterium. RNAcentral's name for it is "bacterial SSU rRNA". It matches the Rfam family "Bacterial small subunit ribosomal RNA", at positions 355 to 912 of the family's 1533-position model. The record is from RNAcentral.
UGGGGAAUCUUGGACAAUGGGGGCAACCCUGAUCCAGCCAUGCCGCGUGAGUGAUGAAGGCCUUAGGGUCGUAAAGCUCUUUCGCCUGUGAAGAUAAUGACGGUAGCAGGUAAAGAAACCCCGGCUAACUCCGUGCCAGCAGCCGCGGUAAUACGGAGGGGGUUAGCGUUGUUCGGAAUUACUGGGCGUAAAGCGCACGUAGGCGGACCAGAAAGUUGGGGGUGAAAUCCCGGGGGCUCAACCCCGGAACUGCCUCCAAAACUAUUGGUCUAGAGUUCGAGAGAGGUGAGUGGAAUUCCAAGUGUAGAGGUGAAAUUCGUAGAUAUUUGGAGGAACACCAGUGGCGAAGGCGGCUCACUGGCUCGAUACUGACGCUGAGGUGCGAAAGUGUGGGGAGCAAAACAGGAUUAGAUACCCCUGGUAGUCCACACCGUAAAACGAUGAAUGCCAGUCGUCGGGUAGCAUGCUAUUCGGUGACACACCUAACGGAUUAAGCAUUCCGCCUGGGGAGUACGGUCGCAAGUUAAAACUCAAAGGAAUUG